Non-coding RNA from Maylandia zebra (zebra mbuna), 336 nucleotides. Lineage: Eukaryota; Metazoa; Chordata; Actinopteri; Cichliformes; Cichlidae. The record is from RefSeq and is a predicted model, not a curated record.
CUCAUAUCUCCUCUUCUUCUACCCUUCUUUCUCCUCCCCCUUCUCCCUCUCCCCCCUCCUCCCUCAUAUCCCCAAUUGUAGCUGCUAUAGGUUCCCUGGUGCUAUUGGUUCUGGUUCUGUUUGUACUUCAUCUUCUGUGGAAGAAGCGCACAGGGAGAUACCAGUCAGCUCCAGUAAAUGAUGUCACCUAUGCUGAGGUCACCAGUAGAGCCUGGACCAAUAAGACUCCAGCCAGCGAACCUGAAGUACUUUACUCCAGUCUGAGGACAAACACUGCAGAAGCUAAAGGAACCACAGACACCACAGAAGAAGUGUAAACAGGAAGCUGAGGACAGA